CCGGUAUGUUUGAUUCUGACAAACAAGGAUAAAAGUCUUGUACCCCCAUUGCUAAUGAGAUGAUGAAACAGCAGGGAUCAAGUUUUUAAUUACUGCAGGCGAGGCGCUGGAGAGGAAGUCGCAACUGAGCGUCCGAACCACAAGCGUUGACUGAGUCUACCGAGUGGCUUACAUUUCUAAGAUCUUGGAGCAGAUACAGAAAAAGGCACCCUCACCUGCUGCCCUGGGAGAAGCCCAGGCACGAAGCCAGAUUUACAAAUCAUAAAGCCGCCACACAGGAAAGGAGUGGAAAUAAACGGGGGCUUGGUGAGAACGGACACAAAGCCACGACCACUCUGGAGACUGAGCGAAGGCUCCAGCCUAGUGACCGACCCUUCAACAGCCUGCGAGGAAAAAUGAGCAUCCUUUACAAGUGA
This 416-nucleotide long non-coding RNA is filed under the name Suricata suricatta (meerkat). RNAcentral describes it as "lncRNA (ENSSSUG00005023130.1)". The record is from RNAcentral. Lineage: Eukaryota; Metazoa; Chordata; Mammalia; Carnivora; Herpestidae.